Non-coding RNA from Saimiri boliviensis boliviensis (Bolivian squirrel monkey), 614 nucleotides. Lineage: Eukaryota; Metazoa; Chordata; Mammalia; Primates; Cebidae. The record is from RefSeq and is a predicted model, not a curated record.
AGCACCCUACCUUGUCCUCUGUGAAGGAGGCCACCUAAACUGUCUCACUGGUUCUAGGUACACAAAACCCAAAUCUGAGAAAUCCACUGAAUUGGCAGUAGCAAGGGGACUCAGUUCGAGAAGAAGUUCGCUUUGCUGUGUCACUAGAUCAAAAGCUACCACAAAUGCAGACUAUAAUCACUCUUUAAUAUUAAAGGGAAAAGCUGACCUGUCCAGCUACAGCAGCAAAGUAACCAUACAGCGGAUCUUGAGUUUGUCCGGGAAACGCAGGCCCUCCAGGAGCCCCUCCAUACUGUGAAACAGGAAACACAUAGACAUCAUUCUGCCAAUCAAGUUUUCUUCUUUCACCACUGAAGGCUUUUGUGCAAGGCCAGACAACUGCCCGCCGCCUGCCCCCGCCCCCCUCGCCCCCACCUCCCGCUUCACAAGGCUCACCUGCCCACCACCGGGCACACUCAAACUGCCACCAUCCCACUCCUCUCUUCCAUUCUCACCCCGUAAUUUAAAAACUGGCUACUUGGACCUACAGAGUUGCUGUGAAAGUGAUGUCUGCAUAUGUAAAGCAACUUUUAAAAUCCCUAUUAACCUUCAGGCUACUGAGGUUCUGGAAGCAG